This is a long non-coding RNA of Conger conger (European conger), 1171 nucleotides long. RefSeq lists it as uncharacterized. The record is from RefSeq and is a predicted model, not a curated record. The transcript is spliced from 3 exons. NCBI's taxonomy places the organism in Eukaryota, Metazoa, Chordata, Actinopteri, Anguilliformes, Congridae.
GAGAGCCAGCGCUCACAUUAUAUCUGUGCCUAAGCACACACACAGGGGGCAGAACCUGACAAAUGUGCGGGGUGAACUGGUUCCCCAAAGGGACUCUCCUGAGAAGCUGGCUCACAAAGUCCCGGCCCCGCCUCCUCCUGCUCAUCGCCGGGCUGAAGCGGCCGCAGGUCACGCUCAUGAGGAGGAAGAGGAUGAAACGCACAAAAGUAGCGAAGGCCACGUAAGGGAACCUCCAAUCGAAUGCCCCAUUUCAGCUGAGCCCACGGAGGAGUCACACUCCUGGCCAGAGCGAGGAACCAAAAGCCAGCGUGAACAGAAAAGGGACUCAACACUCAUUACAAAAGACAACUAGCCCCACAUACACAGCAAUAUGUACAUCAUCUCUUAAAUACACAUUUAUUUAUGAUUCCUUAUAUUACAGAGUGUGAUUGUAAGUUAUUUACAUUCAGUGCCAACAUUUAUCUGAAUAACAAUCAAUAGUCCUGUGAUCUCUGGAGAUUUCUUUUUGUGCUGGUUUGUUUAGAUUAACUGAGCUUCAGGGAGUAAGAGAGUGCUAAAAUCAAUUUCCCCGACUGGAUUAUUAGCCUAACCAUUUUGUGAAAAUGGCGAAGGCCAAUCGAGGAUCAUUUGGGGUAAAGUACAUGGAUCUACAUAUCCAGCAGUAACUGUGGAUUGUUAGCAGUGUCGAGCCAAUAAGCAAAGCACACACUUCGCCAAUCCAAAAUCAUAGCAGAACCACAGUAGGAAACUAAAAUAAGCAUCUAGGUCUUGUAAAGACCAACAGCAACAACAGAUGCCAUUACCCAUCAGCCACCUGUUCAGGUUCUGUAGCCAAUCAGUGGCAUAAAACAAUGACAUAUUUUAAGCCACCAGCCACAUAUCAAUUCAUAAUUAUUUACUUUAUAUUAAUGAGCAUGUCCAAGAAGGAACAUUUUAAUGGUCAGAAAAUUAAGAUUAAUCAAAUAAUUCAAAGAAUAAGAAUCCUACCAAUCAUACAGUUAAGAGCUAAUGGUGUUUAAUGGAACAAGUCUACUCCCCUUCAAACGUGUUCCUCUGUUAGAGCUUAAGAUCUGUCUUUAUAUAUCUGGUGAAAAUGUCCAGUUUACGGAUUUUCUUUCUAUCAUUCCUCUGUUUGUAUUUUAUUUAAUUACAUCAGGGAAACAGUGACAGU